CAUCAAGAAGCUAAUAAAAGCGUUAACCUUUUAAGUUAAAGACUGGAAGUUCUAAACCUUCCCUUGAUGG
Molecule: transfer RNA, 70 nt
Filed under: Anourosorex squamipes (mole shrew)
Lineage: Eukaryota; Metazoa; Chordata; Mammalia; Eulipotyphla; Soricidae
Description: tRNA-Lys
Rfam family: tRNA
About the family: Transfer RNA (tRNA) molecules are approximately 80 nucleotides in length. Their secondary structure includes four short double-helical elements and three loops (D, anti-codon, and T loops).
Source: RNAcentral